UUCGGUCGGGAACUCAAAGGAGACUGCCAGUGAUAAACUGGAGGAAGGUGGGGAUGACGUCAAGUCAUCAUGGCCCUUACGACCAGGGCUACACACGUGCUACAAUGGCGCAUACAAAGAGAAGCGAUCUCGCGAGAGCAAGCGGACCUCAUAAAGUGCGUCGUAGUCCGGAUUGGAGUCUGCAACUCGACUCCAUGAAGUCGGAAUCGCUAGUAAUCGUGGAUCAGAAUGCCACGGUGAAUACGUUCCCGGGCCUUGUACACACCGCCCGUCACACCAUGGGAGUGGGUUGCAAAAGAAGUAGGUAGCUUAACCUUCGGGGGGGCGCUUACCACUUUGUGAUUCAUGACUGGGGUGAAGUCGUAACAAGGUAACCGUAGGGGAACCUGCGGUUGGAUCACCUCCUUACCUUAAAGAAGC
RNAcentral lists this ribosomal RNA (420 nucleotides) under Salmonella enterica. Its description in RNAcentral is "bacterial SSU rRNA". It matches the Rfam family "Bacterial small subunit ribosomal RNA", at positions 1126 to 1533 of the family's 1533-position model. Lineage: Bacteria; Pseudomonadati; Pseudomonadota; Gammaproteobacteria; Enterobacterales; Enterobacteriaceae. The record is from RNAcentral.